CGCCUGUUUAUCAAAAACAUGUCCUUUUGCUAAUUUUUUAAGGUCUGGCCUGCUCAAUGAAUGUUAAAUAGCCGCAGUAUUUUGACUGUGCAAAGGUAGCAUAAUCAUUAGUUUUUUAAUUGAAAGCUGGAAUGAAUGGUCGGAUGAGGGAGUGACUGUCUCACUUUAAUUUUCAUAGAACUUUAUUUUUAAGUCAAAAAGCUUAAAUUUGAUAUAAAGACGAGAAGACCCUAUAGAGUUUAAUAGAUAAAAAGUAUAAUAAAUUUAAGGUUUAUAUUUUUUUUAUGCUUUAAUCUAUUUUGUUGGGGUGACAGAGAAUUGAAUUGAACUUCUUUAUAUAGCACCACUGAUUAGUGAGUAAAUGAUCCUUUUAUAGAGAUUAAAAAACUAAAUUACCUUAGGGAUAACAGCGUAAUUUUUUCAGAGAGUUCUUAUCAAUGAAAGGGAUUGCGACCUCGAUGUUGGAUUAAAGUUAAUUCUUGGUGCAGAAGCUAGGAUAUUAAGUCUGUUCGACUUUUAGAAACUUUCGUGAUCUGAGUUUAGACCCG
This 548-nucleotide ribosomal RNA is filed under the name Mylabris cincta. RNAcentral's name for it is "partial 16S ribosomal RNA". It matches the Rfam family "Bacterial large subunit ribosomal RNA", at positions 1797 to 2619 of the family's 2925-position model. The record is from RNAcentral. Lineage: Eukaryota; Metazoa; Arthropoda; Insecta; Coleoptera; Meloidae.